Pseudophryne corroboree (corroboree frog) is the source of this 1074-nucleotide long non-coding RNA. RefSeq lists it as uncharacterized. The transcript is spliced from 4 exons. NCBI's taxonomy places the organism in Eukaryota, Metazoa, Chordata, Amphibia, Anura, Myobatrachidae. The record is from RefSeq and is a predicted model, not a curated record.
UUCAGCCGUCUUCAGAGACAGUUGGCAGUUGGGCAGCAGCCAUCUUAGAAGGAAACAGAGCAACAACUUAGAGCAGAGGCAGCUGCUGGUCUGUGACAGGAGUGAUGUACAGCUUAUGAAGAGCCAGCUUCUAUUCCUAGUGACCGGAGAUCAGCAUUGUAGAAGCCAAUUGGUAAUACCAGCCUCCUGUGGGAACCCACUGCUUCCGGUGGUGCUCGCUGACAGGCAUCUGACAGAUCAGAACAGUGAUGGGCUCUACUGACUGUGUGGCUGGAAACUAGGCCAUGCAGCCUGCCCUCCCUUUUGAAGACAGCCCUGGAGGUAGCCCUGCUUUGGAGUAACAGAUGGUGGGAGGAGCAGAGUCAGUGUCUUGCUGCAGCUGCAGACAGAGACUUUAAAGCAGUGUUUGUUCUUUGGCAAAAAGGAAAUAAAAGCUGGCACAGUUAGCAGAAAGAGAUUGUAAAACAUAUCUUUAGUCACAAGACAGAAGCUAGUCAGCUGGCACAAACGUUCAAUUGUUUGACAACGUAAGAUCUGUUCAGAAAUAAAAGGGUUCAAGAAUACCAUAUAUUGGUUUAAUUCCCAUUUAUUGAGGGUGUUUUUUUUGGAAGCCUGGGUACCAGAAGGCACAACAGUGAAUCACCAUUACUAUAAAAAUGGUCUAGCAACUUUGCAGAAAAGAAUCAGAAGAAAGAGGCCAGAAUUGUGCAAAAAUGAUUUCAUUCUCCAUCAGGAGAAUGUACCAGCCCACACAACUCUCUGUGAAGCAGUUUUUCCUGAGAUACAGAUUGCAGUACAAGAACACCCUCCAUACUCACCAGACCCAGCACCGUGUGACUUCUUCCUUUUCCCUAAAGUCAAAUCUGUACACAAGGCAACCCAUUUUACAUCAGUUACUUUGGUAAAGAAGAAGAUGAUAGAGUUGUUGAGAUAGCUGAAAGAUAAUGAGCUACAGCACAGCUUUGACCAAUGGUAAAUAAGAAUACAGCAGUGUGUGUACGCAGAUUGGAAGUACAUAGAAGGGGAAUGGAAUUUAAAUGUACUUAAUAUAAUUAAACAUAAAUUAUAUAUUCA